Molecule: long non-coding RNA, 7589 nt
Filed under: Medicago truncatula (barrel medic)
Lineage: Eukaryota; Viridiplantae; Streptophyta; Magnoliopsida; Fabales; Fabaceae
Description: long non-coding RNA (MTRU_LNC003061)
Rfam family: MIR2606 microRNA precursor family (bases 6841-7004)
Source: RNAcentral
UCGAGUAUUUUCAUAAGCUCUUCCAAACACCAUUUUGACACCGCAUAGUUUUUAGAGAAAACAAUAACGGAGAGCUUGGCUUCUUCGAUGGCCCUAACAAGGGUGGUUGGUAUUUCAUCACCACUAUUAAGAUCAUUGUCUAUAUAGGUUCUUAUAUCUAAUCUUUUCAAAGCACCAUUAAGAUGGCUUGUGAAAUUGUUGCGAGUAUCCUCACCUCUAAAACUAAUAAACACUUCGUGCUUUUCUAGAGGAGCAUUGUUGAAUGAAGAGGAGGAAGAUGAAUAUGACCAUGCCAUAAUAAUGCUAAUGUGUAUUUGACUAUAGUUACUAGAGUAUAUAGGUAAAACUACGAAUAAUCGUUGUUUCCGACAACUCAGGCCUCAGGGUUUGAAUUUUAUGGUUAAUUCGAUGUACGACCCCGGUACUUAUAAUAUUUACAAGCAAAAAUAAUUGGAUGUCCACCCGUGUGAUGCACGGGUUAAUUUUAGGAGAUUUUUAUUGUUUAUGAUGUGAAUAUCUUAUUUUAUUGAAUGAUGAGAAUAUUUAUGAUGUGAAUGUCAUUUUUUAUAGAACUAUGAGAAUAUUUACAAAAAAGAUGGGGUGCAAAAUCGCUCAAAAAAAAGUUGAUGCAAAAUCGCACAAUUAGCAAAAUAUAGGGGGGAAAAGUGCAAUUAAGCCUAAAAAUAAAAAGGAAAUACAUACUUAACUAAUAAAUAGACAUCGUACUGUUCUCGUGAGCUUAACUAAGUUGGUACGAACAAUGCAUUAAUAUAUGCAAGAUCCGGGAUUAAAAUCCAGCCACCACAAAAUAAGAAAAUAGACAACGUACAUAUACGAAUGCAAUUACUUACAAUGUCUUGACUUAUCAAAGUGCCCUUAUUUAUAAAAUAUUAAACCAACUACAAUAUAAAAAAAAUAUAAAAGAGAAAAUAGCGCUUAGAAGACUUUUUUUAUCAGUUCUCACAUUAAUAGUAUAUAUAUAAAGUAAGGUUUUUUAUGCCACGUGUCAUUUCCACGUAUAUUCGCAAUAUUUUUAUUAUUUUUUUAUUUUUUAAAACCAAUAUUUGAUUUGGCAUAAAUAUCUCAACAAACUUUUGAUCUUAUCUAUUAAAUAUUUUACUUACUUUUUCAUUGAUUCCUAAAAUUUUAUGUAACAGAAAUAUCUCAACAGAAAUAACACAAAUUCCUAAAAGUUAAUUUUAUUAUAUAUGUGUUAAUAUUUUUACUAAAUCCAAUUAAUUUUAUCUGUAUGUGCAUCUAUAAAUUAACGAGUAUUUUAUAAUAUGGUAUAUUUUAUUAUGUUUGUUUGUAUUUUUAUUAAGAUAUUCAUCCUAUUCCAAUCCGUGAUAAAUUUUAUUUGCGAAUAACAUACAUAUAAUUUUUUUAUCUUCUUGAAUAUGUCUAACCCGGGCAACGCCAGAUAAAUACACCAGUAGUAAAUAACAACAUAAGAAUUUGAAAAAUAAAAAACCUAUCGUUAUUUUAUGCAAUAACAAAAACAAAACAAAAAUCUUAGAAGACUUCUUAGUUCUCUCAACAGUAAAUCAAAUUUUUUAUAAUUGAGUGUAACUCUAUACUAACCCUAAUAUUCCCACUUGACCUUCGUGUAAUUUGAAAAAACAAAAGGAUUUUCAAAAAUUAAAAAUGAAUCAAGUUUUUAUAUUCGAUUGUAACUCUAUACUAUUCCCACUAUUUUCACAGGACCUUCGUGUGAUUUGAAGGUACAAAAGGGUUCUAAAAAAAUUAAAACUGAAUAAUAUUUUAAUAAUUGAGUGUAAUUUUAUACCAAUCCUAACAAAAACGCAAGAAAGAGAAAAUUUGCAUUUUGUUUUAGAUUUGUGUUCCCUUUUUUUGUUCGUUUUCUGAAUGUGGUUAUACCGGUAAAGUGCAGAAUGUAAAGAUACACGAAAAAGAAUAUAACACCUCGUUUUAAGAGACGUCCACCCGUGCGAUGUGCGGGUCAAUUCUAUAAUAUUUUUAUUGUUUAUGACAUGAAUAUCUUAUUUUAUUGAAUGAUAAGAAUAUUUACGAUGUGAAUGUUUUUUUUUUUUUUUUUAUUUAUAUAGAACUAUGAGUAUAUUUACGAUGUGAAUAUUUUUUGUAUAGAACAAUGAGAAUAUAUAUCAAACUAUAUUUUAUUAGUAUCUCUCAAAGUAUUUUCAUAAACAACAAAACCUAUUUUAAAUUUAAAGAGAUCCAUCUACUGAUGAAAAUAAAAGGCCUCUUGAAUUAAAAAGUUCAAUACUUGAAUUAUGUUAGUUACUAUUGUUGAACCUUGGAGUUUUAUGUGACCGUUACCAUUGUUGUUGAUCCAGUAUUAUAUGUUUACUAAGUGCUGACUACGUGAAAAUUCUCAAACAAAUGGCACACGCAUAAAUUUUAUUUUUCAUAUAACAUGAGAGCAAAAACCAGCACCAUAACUAUUAAUAUUAACACUAAUGUUAAUCUUAAAUUUCUCAUGUUAUGAAUGAUGGAUCACCACUAUUAGAAUCUGAAUUAAUCUUAUUGUGAAUCGAUAUCUCUGUCUUGAAGAACCACCGAACUAUUGUUGAAGAAUUGAUUAAGGUCCAUGAAUCAAAAACUUCUCACUGGAUUUUGUAUUGAGGACAAGAUUGUAUGUGAGAAUGUGUAGAUGUUUAGAUGUUCUUAAUUUUAAUUUUAAAGAAUAUGUAGUGUUGAUUAUAUCUAACAGUUUAUUUUCUAUGCUCCAUUGAUGAGGGAUUCAAUUGCACCAUCACCUUAUAAUCCACCUAUGGUUUUAUACAAAAAAAAAAUUCUAUAAAAAAUGGCUAUGAAAUCAAGUAUAUGAAGUUUUGUAUAUAUUGAAUUUGUGAUGUAUAUAUUAACCAAAUAUUUGUUCCCAUAGAAUAUUCUUUUUAGCAAAACAUAUACAUAUUUGUUUCCUUUUUUAGAAUAAAAUAUUUGUUUCUAUAUUUACAUAAUUAUUCGAUGUAUAUAUAUGAACCAAAGGUGGCAUAAAUUUUUUUUUUUUGGUGUGUUAACCCUCUUGUUCAAAGGGAAAAGAUACCCUAGUAAUUUAGAGUUCGACCGAAAGGUAUGUAAAGCAUGUCCUAACCAAGAAUUGUUGCACACCAUAAAUAAUAUUUUUUUUUUUUUUUUUGUAAAAGAGUCAAUUUUUAUUUGUUUUGAAAUUAAAAAUUUGCUUUAUAGCAUGAAUAUAAUAUUCAAUUUUAUUAUUUAUUUUUUUGAUAGGCAAAGAGAUAGGUGAUACAUCAAGGUAUGUAUGAAAUACAGACCCAUAUCUUACCUACUCAUAAUAUAUUAUUAAAAAAUGGAAAUGGGGUGGGGGACCAAAACCUUUAAAAAUCAAGGAAAAAGAAGAAAAUGAAAUAAAAAAAUAAAUAAGAAAAUUAAAGAAAAGUGGCCAUAGAAGAGAAGGUACUGCUCAACCACCCUUGGGUUCCCCCUUGGAUCGAGUGUUGUACGAAUAAAGUUUACUUUUUGCUUCUUCAUUAAAAAAGGUGUAAAGGGGACGUCCACAUCUUUACCUCGAAUAAGAUAUUCUCUAACAAAGUCAAGUUCCUUCUAAAGUUGUGGAUCAAUAUGUGAUGCUACCUCUAUAGGCUCCAAAGGCAUAAUUGCUUCUGUAGGAAUGAUCAUGCUAGGAGACUUAACAAUUACCAUAUUUUUCUACUGGUUCCAAAAUAAAAUGUUCCUCAUUACCAUUCUAUCCAACCAAGGCAGAAGAAUCGACAAUAUCAUCGUUGACAUUUGAUAAUGGAAAAUGAAAAGAGGUGCUUGAGUUUGGAGGCUGUUCAAUACGAGUUAAUUAUCUGAGAGGAAACAUGUUCAUAUGAUACAAUCUGACCUUUUGUACUUUGUUGCAAUGAUGGUUCUAUAGGUGUGAUGAUUGUAACAUCUUGAUCUGCACUAGGGACGACAUGUUCUGCAUGAGAUAUAACUGGUAUUAUAUUAGUAAUAUGAGGUACUUCAAAUGCUUUCGAGGGCCCAAUCCCAUUUGGUUAUGUUUUUCGACAUAUUUCUGAGUAGCAGCGCGAUCAACUUUUUCAACAACCUGCUCAGGGUGUAGCCAACGACAAGCCGUAACAUUGUGCUCAAUCAUCUGACAACGUGAACAUUAAUCUUGUAGCCGUUCAUAAACUUCUAAUUUGAAAGCAAUCUCAAACCUGUCGAGAGAUGGUGUAUUUUUUGUUUCUAAACCUACCCUCUAAGUAACCUGAGUGCUUCUCGUGGCCGUUUUCAAAACCUUUUUUCAAUCAAAACCUUUACACAACAUGAUUCUGAGAUCUCUAGUUCGGUCUCGCUUGUAAUAAUAAGAACUAGUUCGUUUGCCAAAAACACAGGCAAACAAAUAUACUUUUUAAGUUUGGUCCCUCCUAAAGGCUCCGUCCCCGAGUAAGAUUUUUUCUACCAUAGGUACGAGAGUUCAAAGGCCAUUUUCGAAGAUCAACAUAAAGCAAUUCAAAGACAAAUAUUAUAAGAGUCAUUCAAGGUUAAAAGUCUCUAACUUCCCAAAGCUGUCAUAUCAAUAGAUUUAAGAGAACUUCAACACCCAAGACUCGAAUAGAUGAAGAGACUUGCAAGAGAAAUUUUCAAGAUGGUUAAAGGACACUUGAGAUCCACGCAUUUUAGAAGUUUGUUUAUUUCUUUUUAUUGAAUAGUAGAAUCAAACAUCAUGCAAAUUAAUUUAUUUUCGUUCUGUAAAAUAAACCUACUAGAUAAACACAUCCGUCCUUACAAGAUAACAUAUGUUACUGGCUGCUUGAAUUGAACAAUAUUUUUUUUUUUUUUGACAAGAAAUUGAACAAUAUAUGUAACUCUACACUGUUUUAUAUAAUACCAUUUUCUUUUAUCUUUAUUUCUUGUUUUGUGUAGUUUUACAUUUACAUUUUAUUCUAUUUUACUUUGUCCACCAAUAGUCACAAUUGACAAUUGAUUCCUCAGAAAACUAGUACAUUAAUUAGCUUAAAAUAGAAACAACUUUUUUUUCUUUUUCUUCUUUUUGGUUAGCUUAAAAUUCUUAUUGUCUGAUGAGUUCUCUAAAUGUGAAAGCAUAUCAGGUGACAAGCGAAGCAAACGAAGACUUCUCUCCAUUUUAAGUUCUGUGAUACGUUUAACAGUUGCUUUAUAGUUGUUCAAAUCUAUAAGUUUAGUUGUGCUUUCAUGGAACUGAAAUUGGAGCUUCGCAAGUUCCUCAUACUUACCAAUCUGUUGAUCUAGGUCUCCAACAUAUACUCCAUUGAUCUUGUUUAAUACAUCCACAGCAAUUUCCUCAACCAAUGCCAAUUCUGUUCUGUACACAAACAUCAAGCAUAAUACAACACAUGUAAAGAUCUCAAAUUUCACAACGGAACAAACCAAUCAUAAAACAAUUCUAAGUUGCCAAAAUGAUAAAGACAGUUAGCUGAAUGAGAGGUUGACACCACACUAGGUAUAUGAGUCAUGUCCCUUAUAAAGUGUUCAACAUUCAGUUUUCUAUCUCCCCCUCAAUCAACCAGAAGUUUUCUAUCCCGUUGUACUUGUACCUUUGUUGCCGAUCUGAACGGGUCACGCCACCUGAACACCCUUGGUCUAUAAGACUUUCGACACAAAGAGCAGGUCGAUCAUCACAUCGGAACUUGAACAAGGGUCCAGGCAAUCAUCACAUCGGAACUUGAAUAAUCAUUCAAGUGUGUAUGGUUGUCAAACUCACGAGUAUACUCGCACAAGUUACGAGUCUAGAAGGCACAACUAAGUGGAAUCGCGCAUAGAAUAUUUUUUGAGCUAGACUCGUGUAGACUCGCAUAGACUCGUGAGUUUAUGAUGAGUUUACAAGUCUAUGAGUUUUUUUGAAAAAACAAUUUGUUUUUGAAAAAAAGCUCAAACUAAACAAAAAUUUAAAGGAAAAAAACUUACUUAGAAUCCUCUUAAUUUCUUUUUCGGUCUCACUCUCAAUUUAGAAACAAAUCUCUCACUCUCACCAAAAAUAGAAGAAUUCAGGUCAUACUCACCUACGUUGACGACAAUUUUUUCUUUCUUCAUCGACGAUGACAUUCUUUUGUUGUGUAUCGAAAUAUUGUGGAAAUUGAUGUUGCUAAUAAUACUACUAGAAAAAGCAAAAUUUGGGAGGAAAUUAGUGUCGAAAAAAAUAAAAUCCUUCAAAAAUUCGUUGGUCGCAAAAGUUUAGUGACAGAAUUAGAGAGCGAUUCCACUUUUUUCCUCUCUAAAUUUCCGUCACUAAUUUUUAUUUUUUUUAUAAUAUAAUGAUGCUCAAAGUGGUGGUAGAGGCAAUGUUGAAUUAGGUGGAAGUUAAAAUAAUCCAAAUUAGAUUAUGGUUAAUGGUGAAUAAGAUGUUUUGUCUGGGGCUGAGUUUGAUAUGAUAGUUAGGUUGUUGGUGAAGAUGAUGGUGAUGGUGGUCAUUUUGAUGAUGAACAAAAUUUUAAAUAGACUUUUAUGAUUUUUGGGUGUAUAUAGUAGCCAAUUAGAAAGAAAUUAGGACCUUAUCUACAUUGCUUGCUCUAAUAUGUUUUUUUUAAAGUUUGUUAUUACAUUCGAAAUUUUAUUUUUUUAUGUUAAUUGGUGUUCUAUUAUAAAUAUAUAUAUCAUUUAUGUGUCACUUUCAUAUUUUUUAAAGUCAACUUUAAUUUUCCAUAGACUCAUACGAGUCUACAAAUCGAGUUUACCUGUCGAGUUUAUAUAUCAUUUUUGAGUCUAUGUAAACUCGCGAAUCUGACAACUUUACAAGUGAGUUUAAACAAUCGGGCCUUGACCAAAAUCAAACAAACUAGUGAAUUGGUUAGUUCCAUGUUCAACAUUGGAUUGGUCGGUUCAUCGGAUUAUUAGAAUAUUGUUUUUUUUUUUAAGGGAUUAAAAUAGGAAAAAACUUAGGUACAAUUCCUUAGAUGCUUUUCGUAUGGUUCUUAACUAAAAAUACAUAUUUUUUUGAUAUAACAAACUUUGAGAAAAUUAUGGAUUUGAGGAAAUCAUGAUAUUUUUAGUUAAGAACCAUACGAAAAGCAUCUAAGGAAUUGUACCUAAGUUUUCUCCAUUAGAAUAUUGUUAUCAAGGCUCAUUUUCAGUUAUAAAUGAAAAACUUAAACCAAAAUAACGACGAAAGAAGUUGAUUGAUAUAAAGUUACCUGUUGACAUUGCAAUCCCAUCCAGCAUAAUUUGCAGCUUCCAUCAAACCAUUCCUCCAUUCUUGCACUUUUAUCUUCUUCUUAAAGUUCCUCUCGUGGUUAUUAAAAGCCUCAGCAUAGCUUCCUCUCUGGUUCCUAACAUCAGAAGGAUCAACGUCAUAGAAAAUAGGCACUACAAUUUGCCCUUUCAUCUUUUUAAUUUCCAGUAUUUUCAUAAGCUCUUCCAAACACCAUUUCGACACCGCAUAGUUUUUAGAGAAAACAAUAACAGAGACCUUGGCUUCUUCAAUGGCCCUAAUAAGGGUGGUUGGUAUUUCAUCACCCCUAUUAAGAUCAUUGUCUAUAUAGGUUCUUAUAUCUAAUCUUUUCAAAGCACCAUUAAGAUGGCUUGUGAAAUUGUUGCGAGUAUCCUCACCUCUAAAACUGAUAAAAACUUCGUGCUUUUCUUGAGGAGCAUUGUUGGAUGAAGAGGAGGAGGAUGAAUAUGGC